This 492-nucleotide ribosomal RNA is filed under the name Aoteapsyche colonica. RNAcentral's name for it is "SSU rRNA". It matches the Rfam family "Eukaryotic small subunit ribosomal RNA", at positions 626 to 1108 of the family's 1831-position model. The record is from RNAcentral. Lineage: Eukaryota; Metazoa; Arthropoda; Insecta; Trichoptera; Hydropsychidae.
GCUCGUAGUUGAAAGUGUGUCCUGCGGCGUCGGUCCGCCUUUGCGGCGCGACAGACGCGCCUGCGGGGCUUCUCGCCGGUGUGUUUUCGGCGGCGUCGCUCGCGCGGCGCCGUCGAAUCCUCGCGGCUGUUUACUUUGAACAAAUUAGAGUGCUCAAAGCGGGCUGAUUUUCGCCUGAAUAUUGUGCGCAUGGAAUAAUGGAAUAGGACCUCGGUUCAAUUUUGUUGGCUUUCUGACACCAGAGGUAAUGAUUAAUAGGGACAACUGGGGGCAUUCGUAUUGCGACGUUAGAGGUGAAAUUCUUGGAUCGUCGCAAGACGGACUAAAGCGAAAGCAUUUGCCAAAGGUGUUUUCAUUAAUCAAGAACGAAAGUUAGAGGUUCGAAGGCGAUUAGAUACCGCUGUAGUUCUAACCAUAAAUGAUGCCAGCCAGCGAUCCGCCGAAGGUAUUUAUAUUGAUUCGGUGGGCAGCUCCCGGGAAACCAAAGCUUUC